UACGAAGGGUGCGAGCGUUAAUCGGAAUUACUGGGCGUAAAGCGUGCGCAGGCGGCUUUGCAAGACAGAUGUGAAAUCCCCGGGCUCAACCUGGGAACUGCAUUUGUGACUGCAUAGCUAGAGUACGGUAGAGGGGGAUGGAAUUCCGCGUGUAGCAGUGAAAUGCGUAGAUAUGCGGAGGAACACCGAUGGCGAAGGCAAUCCCCUGGACCUGUACUGACGCUCAUGCACGAAAGCGUGGGGAGCAAACAGG
Molecule: ribosomal RNA, 253 nt
Filed under: uncultured bacterium
Lineage: Bacteria
Description: partial 16S ribosomal RNA
Rfam family: Bacterial small subunit ribosomal RNA
Source: RNAcentral